CCUACGGGAGGCAGCAGUGAGGAAUAUUGGUCAAUGGGCGGAAGCCUGAACCAGCCAAGUCGCGUGCAGGAUGACUGCCCUACGGGUUGUAAACUGCUUUUAUACGGGAAUAACGCGCCUUACGUGUAGGGCUUUGCAUGUACCUUAUGAAUAAGGACCGGCUAAUUCCGUGCCCGCCACCGCGGUAAUACGGAAGGUCCGGGCGUUAUCCGGAUUUAUUGGGUUUAAAGGGAGCGUAGGCCGCAUGUCAAGCGUGCUGUGAAAUGUCCGGGCUCAACCCGGGCCUUGCAGCGCGCACUGGCGGGCUUGAGUCCGCGGAAAGCAGGCGGAAUUCGUCGUGUAGCGGUGAAAUGCUUAGAUAUGACGAAGAACCCCGAUUGCGAAGGCAGCUUGCUGCAGCGGAACUGACGCUGAUGCUCGAAAGCGCGGGUAUCGAACAGGAUUAGAUACCCCUGUAGUC
RNAcentral lists this ribosomal RNA (460 nucleotides) under uncultured bacterium. RNAcentral's name for it is "partial 16S ribosomal RNA". It matches the Rfam family "Bacterial small subunit ribosomal RNA", at positions 338 to 795 of the family's 1533-position model. The record is from RNAcentral.